CGGAAGUAGCUCAGUGGUAGAGCAUCACCUUGCCAAGGUGGGGGUCGCGGGUUCGAGUCCCGUUUUCCG
This 69-nucleotide transfer RNA is filed under the name human gut metagenome. It matches the Rfam family "tRNA". From Rfam's summary of the family: Transfer RNA (tRNA) molecules are approximately 80 nucleotides in length. Their secondary structure includes four short double-helical elements and three loops (D, anti-codon, and T loops). RNAcentral also lists the same sequence under 1 other name. The record is from RNAcentral.